This 469-nucleotide ribosomal RNA is filed under the name uncultured bacterium. Its description in RNAcentral is "bacterial SSU rRNA". It matches the Rfam family "Bacterial small subunit ribosomal RNA", at positions 28 to 507 of the family's 1533-position model. The record is from RNAcentral.
GAUGAACGCUAGCGGCAGGCUUAGCACAUGCAAGUCGAGGGGCAGCGUGAGGGUUAGCAAUAACCCUUGACGGCGACCGGCGCAAGGGUGCGUAACGCGUGAGCAACUUGCCCUUAUCAGGGGGAUAACCGGUGGAAACGCCGACUAAUACCCCAUGGCAUUGGUUGGAGGCAUCUCCUUCCAAUUAAAGAGUUUCGGAUAAGGAUAGGCUCGCGUGACAUUAGCUAGACGGCGGGGUAACGGCUCACCAAGUCGACGAUCAGUAGCCGGACUGAGAGGUUGAACGGCCACAUUGGGACUGAGACACGGCCCAGACUCCUACGGGAGGCAGCAGUGGGGGAUAUUGGACAAUGGGGGCAACCCUGAUCCAGCGAUGCCGCGUGAGGGAAGAAGGUUUUCGGAUUGUAAACCUCUGUUGACAGGGACGAUAAUGACGGUACCUGUUUAGAAAGCCACGGCUAACUACGUG